GCAUGUUAAAUUUAGCUGAACAAGUUCCUUUCCUCACUGGGGACCUGGUUAGAUGGCCACAAACAAGUUCCUGGGUGUAGUGUUUGUAGCAGAUGCUUGUACUGGUAACCAUGGGACGGAUCACGGAGACAGUC
Molecule: small nucleolar RNA, 134 nt
Filed under: Mus pahari (shrew mouse)
Lineage: Eukaryota; Metazoa; Chordata; Mammalia; Rodentia; Muridae
Description: predicted gene, 25979 (MGP_PahariEiJ_G0034458.1)
Source: RNAcentral